Molecule: ribosomal RNA, 422 nt
Filed under: uncultured bacterium
Lineage: Bacteria
Description: bacterial SSU rRNA
Rfam family: Bacterial small subunit ribosomal RNA
Source: RNAcentral
UAAGGAAUAUUGGACAAUGGAGGCAACUCUGAUCCAGCCAUGCCGCGUGAAGGAAUAAGGCCCUAUGGGUUGUAAACUUCUUUUAGACGGGACAAAACCCCCUUACGUGUAAAGGGUUGAUGGUACUGUCAGAAUAAGCAUCGGCUAACUUCGUGCCAGCAGCCGCGGUAAUACGAAGGAUGCAAGCGUUAUCCGGAAUUAUUGGGUUUAAAGGGUGCGUAGGCGGACUAAUAAGUCAGUGGUGAAAGCCUGCAGCUUAACUGCAGAAUUGCCAUUGAUACUGUUAGUCUUGAGUACAGUUGAGGUAGGCGGAAUGUGUCAUGUAGCGGUGAAAUGCUUAGAUAUGACACAGAACACCGAUUGCGAAGGCAGCUUGCUAAGCUGUAACUGACGCUGAGGCACGAAAGCGUGGGGAGCAAACA